GGAACCCUCCAGGAGAUGAUGCCAUAAUCUGACAUGGGCACCUCUAGGAUGGAGCAGGUGGAGCCUGGAAAUGGAGAAGCUGCAGAAAGAGGGAAACACCUCUGCCCCUGCAGAGCCCAUCAUCCAGAUCUUGGCCUGAUGGAAGCAGGAGCUCUGGGUAGCACAGCUGCAUUUAUCCACCUAAACUUUAAUUCAGCCCUAAAUCUACAGAUCUCACCAUUUUGA
Molecule: long non-coding RNA, 225 nt
Filed under: Cyanistes caeruleus (blue tit)
Lineage: Eukaryota; Metazoa; Chordata; Aves; Passeriformes; Paridae
Description: lncRNA (ENSCCEG00000024095.1)
Source: RNAcentral